This is a long non-coding RNA of Felis catus (domestic cat), 186 nucleotides long. RefSeq lists it as uncharacterized. Lineage: Eukaryota; Metazoa; Chordata; Mammalia; Carnivora; Felidae. The record is from RefSeq and is a predicted model, not a curated record. The transcript is spliced from 3 exons.
GCGCAGAGACACAGCCGGCGCUUUCCCUGUAACUAAGGAAAAUCCCUUUUCCGCCUGGACUGUUACUUUAAUCAGAUGCUGGAGAAUUUCGAGGGAUAAGACACUUCCUGGUAACUAGAAGUACACAGGAGAGAGUGUGAGCAGGAGUGGAGCAGAGAGAGAAAGACAGAGAAUCCCUAACAGGCU